Molecule: ribosomal RNA, 490 nt
Filed under: uncultured bacterium
Lineage: Bacteria
Description: partial 16S ribosomal RNA
Rfam family: Bacterial small subunit ribosomal RNA
Source: RNAcentral
AGUGAACGCUGGCGGUAGGCCUAACACAUGCAAGUCGAACGGCAGCACAGGGGAGCUUGCUCUCUAGGUGGCGAGUGGCGGACGGGUGAGGAAUACAUCGGAAUCUGCCCAGUCGUGGGGGAUAACGUAGGGAAACUUACGCUAAUACCGCAUACGACCUUCGGGUGAAAGAGGGGGAUCGCAAGACCUCUCGCGAUUGGAUGAGCCGAUGUCGGAUUAGCUAGUUAGCGGGGUAAUGGCCCACCAAGGCGACGAUCCGUAGCUGGUCUGAGAGGAUGAUCAGCCACACUGGAACUGAGACACGGUCCAGACUCCUACGGGAGGCAGCAGUGGGGAAUAUUGGACAAUGGGCGCAAGCCUGAUCCAGCCAUACCGCGUGGGUGAAGAAGGCCUUCGGGUUGUAAAGCCCUUUUGUUGGGAAAGAAAUCUUUCAGGCUAAUACCCUGGGAGGAUGACGGUACCCAAAGAAUAAGCACCGGCUAACUUCGUG